GGAGGAAAAGAAAGCAACUGCGAUUGCCCUAGUAACGGCGAGUGAAGCGGCAGCAGCCCAGAUUUGGAAUCUGGCCCCCUUGCGGGGCCCGAGUUGUAAUCUGCAGAGGAAGCGUCUGGCGCGGCGCCGGCCUAGUUCCCUGGAACGGGACGCCGUAGAGGGUGACAGCCCCGUACGGUCGGCCGCCAAGCCUGUGUGUCGCUCCUUCGAAGAGUCGCGUAGUUUGGGAAUGCUGCGCAAAGUGGGAGGUAUGCUCCUCCUAAGGCUAAAUACCGGCCAGAGACCGAUAGCGCACAAGUAGAGUGAUCGAAAGAUGAAAAGUACCUUGAAAAUGGGGUUAAACAGUACGUGAAAUUGCCAAAGGGGAAGCGCUCGUGGCCAGACUCGCGCCCGGCGGAUCAUCCGGCUCUCCCGCCGGUGCACUCUGCCGGGCUCGGGCCAGCGUCGGUCGGCGCCGGUACUGAAAGGCGGUGCGAACGUGGCUCCCUUCGGGGAGUGUUAUAGCGCGCCGCGUAAUGUGCUGGUGCCGUCCGAGGACCGCGCUUUAUGCAAGGACGCUGGCGUAAUGGCCACUAGCGGCCCGUCUUGAAACACGGACCAAGGAGUCGCCCAGAGGCGCGAGUGUGCGGGUGACAAACCCCUGCGCGUAGUGAAAGCGAACGCUGGUGGGAGCCCUCACGGGCGCACCACCGACCGAUCCUGAUGUCUUCGGAUGGAUUUGAGUAUGAGCGUCUCUGGUCGGACCCGAAAGAGGGUGAACUAUGCUUGGGUAGGGUGAAGCCAGAGGAAACUCUGGUGGAGGCCCCGUU
This 809-nucleotide ribosomal RNA is filed under the name Microthecium levitum. Its description in RNAcentral is "eukaryotic LSU rRNA". It matches the Rfam family "Eukaryotic large subunit ribosomal RNA", at positions 52 to 880 of the family's 3401-position model. The record is from RNAcentral. Lineage: Eukaryota; Fungi; Ascomycota; Sordariomycetes; Coronophorales; Ceratostomataceae.